This 505-nucleotide ribosomal RNA is filed under the name Rhodococcus sp. enrichment culture clone Ding7. RNAcentral's name for it is "bacterial SSU rRNA". It matches the Rfam family "Bacterial small subunit ribosomal RNA", at positions 242 to 760 of the family's 1533-position model. The record is from RNAcentral. Lineage: Bacteria; Bacillati; Actinomycetota; Actinomycetes; Mycobacteriales; Nocardiaceae.
CAGCUUGUUGGUGGGGUAAUGGCCUACCAAGGCGACGACGGGUAGCCGGCCUGAGAGGGCGACCGGCCACACUGGGACACAGAGACCGGGGAUACUCCUACGGGAGGCAGCAGUGGGGAAUAUUGCACAAUGGGCGCAAGCCUGAUGCAGCGACGCCGCGACAGGGAUGACGGCCUUCGGGUUGUAAACCUCUUUCACCCAUGACGAAGCGCAAGUGACGGUAGUGGGAGAAGAAGCACCGGCCAACUAGUGCCAGCAGCCGCGGUAAUACGUAGGGUGCGAGCGUCGUCCGGAAUUACUGGGCGUAAAGAGCUCGUAGGCGGUUUGUCGCGUCGUCUGUGAAAACCCGCAGCUCAACUGCGGGCUUGCAGGCGAUACGGGCAGACUCGAGUACUGCAGGGGAGACUGGAAUUCCUGGUGUAGCGGUGAAAUGCGCAGAUAUCAGGAGGAACACCGGUGGCGAAGGCGGGUCUCUGGGCAGUAACUGACGCUGAGGAGCGAAAGC